This 73-nucleotide transfer RNA is filed under the name Patescibacteria group bacterium. Its description in RNAcentral is "tRNA-Thr". It matches the Rfam family "tRNA". From Rfam's summary of the family: Transfer RNA (tRNA) molecules are approximately 80 nucleotides in length. Their secondary structure includes four short double-helical elements and three loops (D, anti-codon, and T loops). The record is from RNAcentral.
GCCGAGGUAGCUCAGUCGGUAGAGCGUGCCCUUGGUAAGGGCAAGGUCAUGGGUUCAAUUCCCAUCCUCGGCU